GCCUGAGUAGCUCAGUCGGUUAAGCGUCUGACUUCGGCUCAGAUCAUGAUCUCGCGGUUUGUGAGUUCAAGCCCCGCGUCGGGCU
RNAcentral lists this transfer RNA (85 nucleotides) under Felis catus (domestic cat). It matches the Rfam family "tRNA". Rfam says of the family: Transfer RNA (tRNA) molecules are approximately 80 nucleotides in length. Their secondary structure includes four short double-helical elements and three loops (D, anti-codon, and T loops). Further hydrogen bonds mediate the characteristic L-shaped molecular structure. tRNAs have two regions of fundamental functional importance: the anti-codon, which is responsible for specific mRNA codon recognition, and the 3' end, to which the tRNAs corresponding amino acid is attached (by aminoacyl-tRNA synthetases). tRNAs cope with the degeneracy of the genetic code in two manners: having more than one tRNA (with a specific anti-codon) for a particular amino acid; and 'wobble' base-pairing, i.e. permitting non-standard base-pairing at the 3rd anti-codon position. Lineage: Eukaryota; Metazoa; Chordata; Mammalia; Carnivora; Felidae. The record is from Rfam by way of RNAcentral.